UACAGAGGGUGCAAGCGUUAAUCGGAGUUACUGGGCGUAAAGGGCGCGUAGGCGGUGAUACAAGUGAGAUGUGAAAUCCCUGGGCUUAACCGAGGAACUGCGUCCGAUACUGAAAGGCUUGAAUCCGGGAGAGGGAUGUGGAAUUCCAGGUGUAGCGGUGAAAUGCGUAGAUAUCUGGAGGAACACCGGUGGCGAAGGCGGCAUCCUGGACCGGUAUUGACGCUGAGGCGCGAAAGCUAGGGGAGCAAACGGG
This 253-nucleotide ribosomal RNA is filed under the name uncultured bacterium. Its description in RNAcentral is "partial 16S ribosomal RNA". It matches the Rfam family "Bacterial small subunit ribosomal RNA", at positions 524 to 776 of the family's 1533-position model. The record is from RNAcentral.